Molecule: long non-coding RNA, 356 nt
Organism: Oreochromis niloticus (Nile tilapia)
Lineage: Eukaryota; Metazoa; Chordata; Actinopteri; Cichliformes; Cichlidae
Exons: 2
Source: RefSeq, a predicted model, not a curated record
UGUUUCUGGGGCUGGUACCUGUGAAUCAUUCUUUAGCUGUCCUGUUACCCUGACACAGAGAAUAAUGAGAAAUUCUCUUGACACGCACCGAGCUUUUACACAUGAUACAAAGAUAUUUCACAUGCUGAACAGACUUUAUUGAAACAGAGACAAUCAUCAGAAUACAGUGAGACAGAGCUAAUCAAACAGAUUGAUUGUAGGAUCAAUGAUCAUUGUUGGAGUCAAAGAUCUGAGAUCACAGUGGGUGAACAUCAUUUCAGAAAGGAAAGAAAAACAAUCAAACUGGUUAAACAGGAACACCAUAGACUCUUUGGUUUCUGCCCAGUGAGCAUUCCCAGCUCUGUUACUAAAACGAA